AGAACGAACGCUGGCGGCAGGCUUAACACAUGCAAGUCGAACGAUGUAGCAAUACAUAGUGGCGCACGGGUGAGUAACACGUGGGAACAUGCCUUUCAGUUCGGGAUAACACCGGGAAACUGGUGCUAAUACCGAAUAUUCUCUCCGGAGGAAAGAUUUAUCGCUGAAAGAUUGGCCCGCGUUAGAUUAGGUAGUUGGUGGGGUAAUGGCCUACCAAGCCUACGAUCUAUAGCUGGUCUGAGAGGACGACCAGCCACACUGGAACUGAGACACGGUCCAGACUCCUACGGGAGGCAGCAGUGGGGAAUAUUGGACAAUGGGCGCAAGCCUGAUCCAGCCAUGCCGCGUGAGUGAUGAAGGCCUUAGGGUUGUAAAGCUCUUUUGUCAGGGAAGAUAAUGACGGUACCUGAAGAAUAAGCACCGGCUAACUUCGCGCCAGCAGCCGC
This 446-nucleotide ribosomal RNA is filed under the name uncultured bacterium. Its description in RNAcentral is "SSU rRNA". It matches the Rfam family "Bacterial small subunit ribosomal RNA", at positions 26 to 518 of the family's 1533-position model. The record is from RNAcentral.